This 408-nucleotide ribosomal RNA is filed under the name uncultured bacterium. RNAcentral's name for it is "partial 16S ribosomal RNA". It matches the Rfam family "Bacterial small subunit ribosomal RNA", at positions 28 to 526 of the family's 1533-position model. The record is from RNAcentral.
GACGAACGCUGGCGGCGUGCUUAACACAUGCAAGUCGAACGAAGUGGCGAACGGGUGAGUAACGCGUAAUCAACCCGCCCUUCAGAGGGGGACAACAGAUGGAAACGACUGCUAAUACCGCAUACGGAAGGAGGGGAUUGCGUCUGAUUAGCUAGUUGGAGGGGUAACGGCCCACCAAGGCGAUGAUCAAUAGCCGGUCUGAGAGGAUGAACGGCUAAAUUGGGACUGAGACACGGCCCAGACUCCUACGGGAGGCAGCAGUGGGGAAUCUUCCGCAAUGGACGAAAGUCUGACGGAGCAACGCCGCGUGAGUGAUGACGGCCUUCGGGUUGUAAAGCUCUGUUAAUCGGGACGCGGUACCGGAAUAGAAAGCCACGGCUAACUACGUGCCAGCAGCCGCGGUAAUAC